GAUGAACGCUGACAGAAUGCUUAACACAUGCAAGUCGAUGGGGAAGUGGUGCUUGCACCAUGGUAACCAUGGCGGACGGGUGAGUAACGCGUAAGGAACUUGCCUGCGGGACUGGGAUAACAGCAGGAAACUGCUGAUAAUACCGGAUAAGGUCAUUAAGCUGCAUAGCUUAGUGAUGAAAGGAGACGCCUGCGGAGAGCCUUGCGUCCUAUUAGCUAGUUGGAGGGGUAACGGCCCACCAAGGCGAAGAUAGGUAGCCGGCCUGAGAGGGUGGACGGCCACAAGGGGACUGAGAUACGGCCCUUACUCCUAAGGGAGGCAGCAGUGGGGAAUAUUGGACAAUGGGGGCAACCCUGAUCCAGCAAUUCUGUGUGCACGAAGACGGUUUUCGGAUUGUAAAGUGCUUUCAGCAGGGAAGAAGGAAGUGACGGUACCUGCAGAAGAAGCGACGGCUAAAUACGUG
Molecule: ribosomal RNA, 463 nt
Filed under: uncultured bacterium
Lineage: Bacteria
Description: partial 16S ribosomal RNA
Rfam family: Bacterial small subunit ribosomal RNA
Source: RNAcentral